Molecule: ribosomal RNA, 468 nt
Filed under: uncultured bacterium
Lineage: Bacteria
Description: partial 16S ribosomal RNA
Rfam family: Bacterial small subunit ribosomal RNA
Source: RNAcentral
GACGAACGCUGGCGGCGUGCUUAACACAUGCAAGUCGAACGGACGGGCCCUGCUCUUGUGGCGUGCUUGUUUGGCGAACGCGUGAGUAACACGCGAGUAACCUGCCCUUAACUUUGGGAUAUCUCCAGGAAACAGGGGCGAUAAUCCCAUAUGAGCUCUUGCACCACGGUGGUGGAAGGUAAAUUUCGGCGGUUGGGGAUGGACUCGCGGCUUAUCAGCUUGUUGGUGGGGUUGUUGCUUACCAAGGCUUCGACGGGUAGCCGGCCUGGGAGGGGUGCCGGGCACAUGGGUACUGAGGUAGGGCCCAGACGCGUACGGGAGGCAGCGGUGGGAAGUCUGGCAGAAUAGCGCGAAGCCUGAGGCAACGGCGCCGGGUUCGGGAAGACGGCUUUCGGGGUGUAAACCGCUGUCGACUUUAACGAGGAGAGAGUGACGGUAAUGGGUAAGGAAGCAACGGCUAACUACGUG